This 24-nucleotide non-coding RNA is filed under the name Arabidopsis thaliana (thale cress). The record is from RNAcentral. Lineage: Eukaryota; Viridiplantae; Streptophyta; Magnoliopsida; Brassicales; Brassicaceae.
UGUCAAGAUAGCCAAAGAGACUGC